RNAcentral lists this ribosomal RNA (371 nucleotides) under Brachyleptura rubrica. RNAcentral's name for it is "partial 12S ribosomal RNA". The record is from RNAcentral. Lineage: Eukaryota; Metazoa; Arthropoda; Insecta; Coleoptera; Cerambycidae.
GAUACCCUAUUAUUAUAAAUGUGAAUAAAAAAUUCUUGAUUAUUAUAAGUUUAUGGUCUUUAAAAUUAAAAAUUUUGGCGGUAUUUUAGUCUAUUCAGAGGAAUCUGUCCUGUAAUUGAUAGUCCACGUUUUAAUUUACUUUUUUUAGAAGUUUAUAUAUCAUCGUAGAUUAAAUAUUUUAAAAGAAUUAUAAUAUUUAAGAUUUUUGAGUUUAAAAUAAAUCAGAUCAAGGUGUAGUUUAUAAAAAAGAAGAGAUGGAUUACAAUAAAUAAAUUUUAGAAUUAAUAUUUAAAAAAUUUUAUGAAUAUGGAUUUGAUUGUAAUUUUUAAAAAAUUUUAAGAAUGAUUAGAGCUCUAAAAUAUGUACAUAUC